UAAUACGUAGGGUGCGAGCGUUGUCCGGAAUUAUUGGGCGUAAAGAGCUCGUAGGCGGUUUGUUGCGUCUAUCGUGAAAACCUGGGGCUUAACCCCGGGCCUGCGGUGGAUACGGGCAGACUUGAGUUCGGUAGGGGAGACUGGAAUUCCUGGUGUAGCGGUGAAAUGCGCAGAUAUCAGGAGGAACACCGGUGGCGAAGGCGGGUCUCUGGGCCGAUACUGACGCUGAGGAGCGAAAGCGUGGGGAGCGAACAGGAUUAGAUACCCUGGUAGUCCACGCUGUAAACGUUGGGCGCUAGGUGUGGGGAGCAUUCCACGUUCUCCGUGCCGUAGCUAACGCAUUAAGCGCCCCGCCUGGGGAGUACGGCCGCAAGGCUA
Molecule: ribosomal RNA, 378 nt
Filed under: uncultured bacterium
Lineage: Bacteria
Description: bacterial SSU rRNA
Rfam family: Bacterial small subunit ribosomal RNA
Source: RNAcentral